UACAUAGGGGGCAAGCGUUAUCCGGAAUUAUUGGGUGUAAAGGGUGCGUAGACGGAGAAACAAGUUGGUUGUGAAAUCCCUCGGCUCAACCGAGGAACUGCAACCAAAACUAUUUCCCUUGAGUGUCGGAGAGGAAAGUGGAAUUCCUAGCGUAGCGGUGAAAUGCGUAGAUAUUAGGAGGAACACCAGUGGCGAAGGCGACUUUCUGGACGAUAACUGACGUUGAGGCACGAAAGUGUGGGGAGCAAACAGG
Molecule: ribosomal RNA, 253 nt
Filed under: uncultured bacterium
Lineage: Bacteria
Description: partial 16S ribosomal RNA
Rfam family: Bacterial small subunit ribosomal RNA
Source: RNAcentral